Molecule: ribosomal RNA, 253 nt
Filed under: uncultured bacterium
Lineage: Bacteria
Description: partial 16S ribosomal RNA
Rfam family: Bacterial small subunit ribosomal RNA
Source: RNAcentral
UACAGAGGCGGCGAGCGUUGUUCGGAUUUACUGGGCGUAAAGGGUGCGUAGGCGGUUCCGUAUGUCGGAUGUGAAAUCUCACGGCUCAACUGUGGAAUGGCAUCCGAAACUGCGGGGCUGGAGUACCGGAGAGGAAGGCGGAAUUCUAGGUGUAGCGGUGAAAUGCGUAGAUAUCUAGAGGUACACCGGUGGCGAAGGCGGCCUUCUGGACGGAUACUGACGCUGAGGCACGAAAGCUGGGGGAGCAAACAGG